UGGGGAAUAUUGCACAAUGGGCGCAAGCCUGAUGCAGCCAUGCCGCGUGUGUGAAGAAGGCCUUCGGGUUGUAAAGCACUUUCAGCGAGGAGGAAGGUGGUGAACUUAAUACGUUCAUCAAUUGACGUUACUCGCAGAAGAAGCACCGGCUAACUCCGUGCCAGCAGCCGCGGUAAUGCGGAGGGUGCAAGCGUUAAUCGGAAUUACUGGGCGUAAAGCGCACGCAGGCGGUUUGUUAAGUCAGAUGUGAAAUCCCCGGGCUCAACCUGGGAACUGCAUUUGAAACUGGCAAGCUAGAGUCUCGUAGAGGGGGGUAGAAUUCCAGGUGUAGCGGUGAAAUGCGUAGAGAUCUGGAGGAAUACCGGUGGCGAAGGCGGCCCCCUGGACGAAGACUGACGCUCAGGUGCGAAAGCGUGGGGAGCAAACAGGAUUAGAUACCCUGGUAGUCCACGCUGUAAACGAUGUCGAUUUUGGAGGUUGUGCCCUUGAGGCGUGGCUUCCGGAGCUAACGCGUUAAAUCGACCGCCUGGGGAGUACGGCCGCAAGGUUAAAACUCAAAGGAAUUGACGGGGUC
RNAcentral lists this ribosomal RNA (574 nucleotides) under uncultured bacterium. RNAcentral describes it as "partial 16S ribosomal RNA". It matches the Rfam family "Bacterial small subunit ribosomal RNA", at positions 355 to 920 of the family's 1533-position model. The record is from RNAcentral.